GCGGGAUUCGUAUAAUGGCAGUACGUCACCUUCCCAAGGUGAAAGCACGGGUUCGAUUCCCGUAUUCCGCU
This 71-nucleotide transfer RNA is filed under the name Pseudomonadales bacterium. RNAcentral describes it as "tRNA-Gly". It matches the Rfam family "tRNA". Rfam says of the family: Transfer RNA (tRNA) molecules are approximately 80 nucleotides in length. Their secondary structure includes four short double-helical elements and three loops (D, anti-codon, and T loops). The record is from RNAcentral. Lineage: Bacteria; Pseudomonadati; Pseudomonadota; Gammaproteobacteria; Pseudomonadales. RNAcentral also lists the same sequence under 1 other name.